GCUCAAAUUUGAAAUCCUUCGGGAGUUGUAAUUUGUAGGUUGGGAGACCCCGCGGCUAGUGGCACCAAGUCCCUUGGAACAGGGCGCCUUAGAGGGUGAGAGCCCCGUAGGUACCACAACACCGUCUUGUGUCUCCUCUCCAAAGAGUCGAGUUGUUUGGGAAUGCAGCUCAAAGUGGGUGGUAAAUUCCAUCUAAAGCUAAAUACCGGCGAGAGACCGAUAGCGAACAAGUACAGUGAUGGAAAGAUGAAAAGCACUUUGAAAAGAGAGUGAAACAGUACGUGAAAUUGUUGAAAGGGAAGGGCUUGCAAGCAGACACGGCCUUCGUGCCGGGCCAGCAUCGGUUGCUAGGGGUGGAUAAGGAACAAGGAAUGUAGCUCCUCGGAGUAUUAUAGCCUUGCGCGAUACACCCACUGGCGACCGAGGCCUGCGGUAUUCUUUACCUAGGAUGCUGGCGUAAUGGUUGCAAGCCGCCCGUCUUGAAACACGGACC
RNAcentral lists this ribosomal RNA (493 nucleotides) under Sungouiella intermedia. RNAcentral describes it as "[Candida] intermedia partial large subunit ribosomal RNA". It matches the Rfam family "Eukaryotic large subunit ribosomal RNA", at positions 107 to 667 of the family's 3401-position model. Lineage: Eukaryota; Fungi; Ascomycota; Pichiomycetes; Serinales; Metschnikowiaceae. The record is from RNAcentral.